This 581-nucleotide ribosomal RNA is filed under the name Plectosphaerella citrullae. RNAcentral describes it as "eukaryotic LSU rRNA". It matches the Rfam family "Eukaryotic large subunit ribosomal RNA", at positions 70 to 669 of the family's 3401-position model. Lineage: Eukaryota; Fungi; Ascomycota; Sordariomycetes; Glomerellales; Plectosphaerellaceae. The record is from RNAcentral.
AGGGAUUGCCUCAGUAACGGCGAGUGAAGCGGCAACAGCUCAAAUUUGAAAUCUGGCUCCUUCGGGGUCCGAGUUGUAAUUUGCAGAGGAUGCGUCGGGUACGGGUCCCUACCGAGUUCCCUGGAACGGGACGCCAUAGAGGGUGAGAGCCCCGUCUGGUAGGAUACCCAGCCCAUGUGACGCUCCCUCGACGAGUCGAGUAGUUUGGGAAUGCUGCUCUAACGGGAGGUAUACUCCUUCCAAAGCUAAAUACCGGCUGGAGACCGAUAGCGCACAAGUAGAGUGAUCGAAAGAUGAAAAGCACUUUGAAAAGAGAGUCAAACAGCACGUGAAAUUGUUAAAAGGGAAGCACUCGCUACCAGACUUGGGUUCGGCGGUUCAACCGGGGCCACGCCCCGGGGCAUUCCGCCGGCUCAGGCCAGCAUCAGCUUUCCGUCGGGGGCAAAGACGUCGGGAAUGUAGCUCCUCCUCGGGGGAGUGUUAUAGCCCGGCGUGUCAUACCCUUCGGGGGGCUGAGGUACGCGCUUCUGCAAGGAUGCUGGCGUAAUGGUAGCUAGUGACCCGUCUUGAACACGACCAAA